Molecule: ribosomal RNA, 467 nt
Filed under: uncultured bacterium
Lineage: Bacteria
Description: partial 16S ribosomal RNA
Rfam family: Bacterial small subunit ribosomal RNA
Source: RNAcentral
GGUGAACGCUGGCGGCGUGCCUAAGACAUGCAAGUCGAGCGGGGCAGGUUUAUACCUGUUCAGCGGCGGACGGGUGAGUAACGCGUGGGUGACCUACCCGGAAGAGGCGGACAACCUGGGGAAACCCAGGCUAAUCCGCCAUGUGGUCCUGUCCUGUGGGGCAGGACUAAAGGGGCGACCCGCUUCCGGAUGGGCCCGCGUCCCAUCAGCUAGUUGGUGGGGUAAAGGCCCACCAAGGCGACGACGGGUAGCCGGUCUGAGAGGAUGGCCGGCCACAGGGGCACUGAGACACGGGCCCCACUCCGACGGGAGGCAGCAGUUAGGAAUCUUCCGCAAUGGACGGAAGUCUGACGGAGCGACGCCGCUUGGAGGAGGAAGCCCUUCGGGGUGUAAACUCCUGAACUGGGGACGAAAGCCCCGUGUAGGGGGAUGACGGUACCCAGGUAAUAGCGCCGGCCAACUCCGUG